Molecule: transfer RNA, 72 nt
Filed under: Bos taurus (domestic cattle)
Lineage: Eukaryota; Metazoa; Chordata; Mammalia; Artiodactyla; Bovidae
Also listed under: 2 other names
Rfam family: tRNA
About the family: Transfer RNA (tRNA) molecules are approximately 80 nucleotides in length. Their secondary structure includes four short double-helical elements and three loops (D, anti-codon, and T loops).
Source: Rfam by way of RNAcentral
UCCCUGUUGGCUUAGCUGGUAAAGCAUCUGCCUGCAAUGCAGGAGACCUGGGUUCGAUCCCUGGGUUGGGAA